CCUACGGGAGGCAGCAGUGGGGAAUAUUGCACAAUGGGCGGAAGCCUGAUGCAGCGACGCCGCGUGAGGGAUGAAGGCCUUCGGGUUGUAAACCUCUUUCAGCAGGGACGAAGCGUGAGUGGACGGUACCUGCAGAAGAAGCACCGGCUAACUACGUGCCAGCAGCCGCGGCAAUACGUAGGGUGCGAGCGUUGUCCGGAAUUACUGGGCGUAAAGAGUUCGUAGGCGGUUUGUCGCGUCGUUUGUGAAAACCCGGGGCUCAACUUCGGGCUUGCAGGCGAUACGGGCAGACUUGAGUGUUUCAGGGGAGACUGGAAUUCCUGGUGUAGCGGUGAAAUGCGCAGAUAUCAGGAGGAACACCGGUGGCGAAGGCGGGUCUCUGGGAAACAACUGACGCUGAGGAACGAAAGCGUGGGUAGCAAACAGGAUUAGAUACCCUGGUAGUCCACGCCGUAAACGGUGGGCGCUAGGUGUGGGUUCCUUCCACGGGAUCUGUGCCGUAGCUAACGCAUUAAGCGCCCGCCUGGGGAGUACGGCCGCAAGGCUAAAACUCAAAUGAAUUGACGGCNGNGAGUGCGACGACGACGACGAGGAGAGG
This 598-nucleotide ribosomal RNA is filed under the name uncultured bacterium. RNAcentral describes it as "bacterial SSU rRNA". It matches the Rfam family "Bacterial small subunit ribosomal RNA", at positions 338 to 949 of the family's 1533-position model. The record is from RNAcentral.